UGGAGCCGACCUUGAAAUACCACCCUUUAAUGUUUGAUGUUCUAACGUUGACCCGUGAUCCGGGUUGCGGACAGUGUCUGGUGGGUAGUUUGACUGGGGCGGUCUCCUCCUAAAGAGUAACGGAGGAGCACGAAGGUUGGCUAAUCCUGGUCGGACAUCAGGAGGUUAGUGCAAUGGCAUAAGCCAGCUUGACUGCGAGCGUGACGGCGCGAGCAGGUGCGAAAGCAGGUCAUAGUGAUCCGGUGGUUCUGAAUGGAAGGGCCAUCGCUCAACGGAUAAAAGGUACUCCGGGGAUAACAGGCUGAUACCGCCCAAGAGUUCAUAUCGACGGCGGUGUUUGGCACCUCGAUGUCGGCUCAUCACAUCCUGGGGCUGAAGUAGGUCCCAAGGGUAUGGCUGUUCGCCAUUUAAAGUGGUACGCGAGCUGGGUUUAGAACGUCGUGAGACAGUUCGGUCCCUAUCUGCCGUGGGCGCUGGAGAACUGAGGGGGGCUGCUCCUAGUACGAGAGGACCGGAGUGGACGCAUCACUGGUGUUCGGGUUGUCAUGCCAAUGGCACUGCCCGGUAGCUAAAUGCGGAAGAGAUAAGUGCUGAAAGCAUCUAAGCACGAAACUUGCCCCGAGAUGAGUUCUCCCUGACUCCUUGAGAGUCCUGAAGGAACGUUGAAG
RNAcentral lists this ribosomal RNA (668 nucleotides) under Escherichia coli. RNAcentral's name for it is "partial 23S ribosomal RNA". It matches the Rfam family "Bacterial large subunit ribosomal RNA", at positions 2181 to 2843 of the family's 2925-position model. The record is from RNAcentral. Lineage: Bacteria; Pseudomonadati; Pseudomonadota; Gammaproteobacteria; Enterobacterales; Enterobacteriaceae.